RNAcentral lists this ribosomal RNA (465 nucleotides) under uncultured bacterium. RNAcentral describes it as "partial 16S ribosomal RNA". It matches the Rfam family "Bacterial small subunit ribosomal RNA", at positions 28 to 507 of the family's 1533-position model. The record is from RNAcentral.
GACGAACGCUGGCGGCGUGCUUAACACAUGCAAGUCGAACGGAAAGGCCCCUUUGGGGGUACUCGAGUGGCGAACGGGUGAGUAACACGUGAGUAACCUGCCCUUGACUUCGGGAUAACUUCAGGAAACUGGGGCUAAUACCGGAUAGGAAUCCUUGCUGCAUGGUGGGGGUUGGAAAGCUUCGGCGGUUUUGGAUGGACUCGCGGCUUAUCAGCUUGUUGGUGGGGUAGUGGCUUACCAAGGCUUUGACGGGUAGCCGGCCUGAGAGGGCGACCGGCCACAUUGGGACUGAGAUACGGCCCAGACUCCUACGGGAGGCAGCAGUGGGGAAUAUUGCACAAUGGGCGGAAGCCUGAUGCAGCAACGCCGCGUGCGGGAUGACGGCCUUCGGGUUGUAAACCGCUUUCAGCAGGGGCGAAGCUUGUGAUGACGGUACCUGCAGAAGAAGCACCGGCUAACUACGUG